UCGGCUUAGAGUUUGAUCAUGGCUCAGAUUGAACGCUGGCGGCAGGCUUAACACAUGCAAGUCGAGCGGUAGGGGAGCUUGCUCCCUACGAGCGGCGGACGGGUGAGUAAUGUCUGGGAAACUGCCUGAUGGAGGGGGAUAACUACUGGAAACGGUAGCUAAUACCGCAUAACGUCGCAAGACCAAAGAGGUUCGUCUUGCCAUCAGAUGUGCCCAGAUGGGAUUAGCUAGUAGGUGGGGUAAUGGCUCACCUAGGCGACGAUCCCUAGCUGGUCUGAGAGGAUGACCAGCCACACUGGAACUGAGACACGGUCCAGACUCCUACGGGAGGCAGCAGUGGGGAAUAUUGCACAAUGGGCGCAAGCCUGAUGCAGCCAUGCCGCGUGUGUGAAGAAGGCCUUCGGGUUGUAAAGCACUUUCAGCGAGGAGGAAAGGUGGUGAGUAAUCUCAUCAAUUGACGUUACUCGCAGAAGAAGCACCGGCUAACUCCGUGCCAGCAGCCGCGGUAAUACGGAGGGUGCAAGCGUUAAUCGGAAUACUGGGCGUAAA
Molecule: ribosomal RNA, 549 nt
Filed under: uncultured Serratia sp.
Lineage: Bacteria; Pseudomonadati; Pseudomonadota; Gammaproteobacteria; Enterobacterales; Yersiniaceae
Description: bacterial SSU rRNA
Rfam family: Bacterial small subunit ribosomal RNA
Source: RNAcentral